AUCAAAUUGUAAACAAGUUUUCGCCAUCUAGGAACCGCGCACAAAACACGAUACCAAAUACAAGAGGAUAUUCAAAAUUUCUACUGGUCAAGUUGAGUUGCAUAAAUUGGCAACGUGGCUUCUCCUAAAUUUCACGAAAGUACGUCUGCUGUACGGUAAACGGCGGAUUUUUCGUUGGUCGUCGUAUUAACCAAGGAUAACAUAACAAGUGAAAUCCAACUUAUCAGUUUACCAUAAGUCAAAGAUUAAUUUGAUUGGAAUUCUGAAGUCACAUAAAAGAAUAGAAACAACAUUUUGCCAUAUAGAGACAUCGCCAAAACAAAGAAGUCAACUGCUCUAACCUUGACCACCGUGACAUUUCUAAUAAGGUUCUAAAUUAUAGGUUUCUAAAUUGGCAUGACAGACUUAUUUAAGUAAGAGAAAUCAUGUCCUUUCAAAAAAAAGGACAAGGACUACACAGUCAACAAGAUUCCUUGUUUGCUAACUGUUGGCUGCUACCCUUGAAUCUCCCUGUUUGUCAACAACAAAAACAGAGGUUCAAUAUUGUGAUUAUGCUAUCAUAAAUAUAUGGCCUAUAAGACCAAAUGUCUGGUUGUCCCUCUAAAAUAAGGCAAUGACCACACGUUUAACGCGGAUUAUUCGUUUUGUCAUCGAACCUAACUCGUUCCAUCUUCUGGAUUGCUUAGGAAACCGUUACCUGUGUAACUUCAUUGUCAUGUCACUGAAUUUAAAUUUUGUUUCUUGAUUUAGCCAUUUAGGUUAUGACCGAGAAGAUGCGGCCUACAUGAACAUCAUUUAGGCGGUCAGCAUCAUUCGACUACCCAACCGGCUUCUACUACCCUGCUCUCAACACAGCACGGAGUUUUACCCUUUAGAUUUUUGGCUGUGCGCGAUGUACAUGAUGGCGUUUCCUUGGACGAGAUGAUGAUUUUGGCGAUAAAAAUAUUGCGUUCUAAUCUUCAGGUUCCUAAAUUUGCAUGGCAGAGUUUAUGAAAAGUAAUGUU
Daphnia pulex (common water flea) is the source of this 1004-nucleotide long non-coding RNA. RefSeq lists it as uncharacterized. The record is from RefSeq and is a predicted model, not a curated record. NCBI's taxonomy places the organism in Eukaryota, Metazoa, Arthropoda, Branchiopoda, Diplostraca, Daphniidae. The transcript has 4 exons.